UGGGGGAUAACUACUCGAAAGAGUAGCUAAUACCGCAUACGAUCUGAGGAUGAAAGCGGGGGACCUUCGGGCCUCGCGCGAUUGGAGCGGCCGAUGGCAGAUUAGGUAGUUGGUGGGAUAAAAGCUUACCAAGCCGACGAUCUGUAGCUGGUCUGAGAGGACGACCAGCCACACUGGGACUGAGACACGGCCCAGACUCCUACGGGAGGCAGCAGUGGGGAAUUUUGGACAAUGGGCGAAAGCCUGAUCCAGCAAUGCCGCGUGCAGGAUGAAGGCCUUCGGGUUGUAAACUGCUUUUGUACGGAACGAAAAAGCUCCUUCUAAUACAGGGGGCCCAUGACGGUACCGUAAGAAUAAGC
RNAcentral lists this ribosomal RNA (359 nucleotides) under Delftia tsuruhatensis. RNAcentral's name for it is "bacterial SSU rRNA". It matches the Rfam family "Bacterial small subunit ribosomal RNA", at positions 137 to 491 of the family's 1533-position model. Lineage: Bacteria; Pseudomonadati; Pseudomonadota; Betaproteobacteria; Burkholderiales; Comamonadaceae. The record is from RNAcentral.